AUGCACGCUGGCGGCGUGCCUCAUACAUGCAGGUCGAGCGCACAGACGAGGAGCUUGCUCCUCUGACGUUAGCGGCGGACGGGUGAGUAACACGUGGAUAACCUACCUAUAAGACUGGGAUAACUUCGGGAAACCGGAGCUAAUACCGGAUAAUAUAUUGAACCGCAUGGUUCAAUAGUGAAAGACGGUUUUGCUGUCACUUAUAGAUGGAUCCGCGCCGCAUUAGCUAGUUGGUAAGGUAACGGCUUACCAAGGCAACGAUGCGUAGCCGACCUGAGAGGGUGAUCGGCCACACUGGAACUGAGACACGGUCCAGACUCCUACGGGAGGCAGCAGUAGGGAAUCUUCCGCAAUGGGCGAAAGCCUGACGGAGCAACGCCGCGUGAGUGAUGAAGGUCUUCGGAUCGUAAAACUCUGUUAUUAGGGAAGAACAAAUGUGUAAGUAACUAUGCACGUCUUGACGGUACCUAAUCAGAAAGCCACGGCUAACUACGU
RNAcentral lists this ribosomal RNA (495 nucleotides) under uncultured bacterium. Its description in RNAcentral is "partial 16S ribosomal RNA". It matches the Rfam family "Bacterial small subunit ribosomal RNA", at positions 29 to 506 of the family's 1533-position model. The record is from RNAcentral.